UGACGCUGGCGGCGUGCCUAAUACAUGCAAGUCGAACGCUUUGUNUUUAAUUGAUAUGAAGAGCUUGCUNUGAUUUGAUUUUAUCUGACAAAGAGUGGCGAACGGGUGAGUAACACGUGGGUAACCUACCUCUUAGCAGGGGAUAACAUUUGGAAACAAGUGCUAAUACCGUAUAACACUAACAACCGCAUGGUUGUUAGUUGAAAGAUGGUUCUGCUAUCACUAAGAGAUGGACCCGCGGUGCAUUAGCUAGUUGGUAAGGUAAUGGCUUACCAAGGCGAUGAUGCGUAGCCGAGUUGAGAGACUGAUCGGCCACAAUGGGACUGAGACACGGCCCAUACUCCUACGGGAGGCAGCAGUAGGGAAUCUUCCACAAUGGGCGCAAGCCUGAUGGAGCAACGCCGCGUGUGUGAUGAAGGGUUUCGGCUCGUAAAACACUGUUAUAAGAGAAGAACGACAUUGAGAGUAACUGUUCAGUGUGUGACGGUAUCUUAUCAGAAAGGAACGGCUAAAUACGUGCCAGCANCCGCGGUAAUACGUAUGUUCCAAGCGUUAUCCGGAUUUAUUGGGCGUAAAGCGAGCGCAGACGGUUAUUUAAGUCUGAAGUGAAAGCCCUCAGCUCAACUGAGGAAGGGCUUUGGAAACUGGAUAACUUGAGUGCAGUAAAGGAAAGUGGAACUCCAUGUGUAGCGGUGAAAUGCGUAAAUAUAUGGAANAACACCGGUGGCGAAAGCGGCUUUCUGGACUGUAACUGACGUUGAGGCUCGAAAGUGUGGGUAGCAAACAGGAUUAGAUACCCUGGUAGUCCACACCGUAAACGAUGAGUGCUAGAUGUUCGAGGGUUUCCGCCCUUGAGUGUCGCAGCUAACGCAUUAAGCACUCCGCCUGGGGAGUACGACCGCAAGGUUGAAACUCAAAGGAAUUGACGGGGGACCCGCACAAGCGGUGGAGCAUGUGGUUUAAUUCGAAGCAACGCGAAGAACCUUACCAGGUCUUGACAUCCCUUGCUAAUCCUAGAAAUAGGAUGUUCCCUUCGGGGACAAGGUGACAGGUGGUGCAUGGUUGUCGUCAGCUCGUGUCGUGAGAUGUUGGGUUAAGUCCCGCAACGAGCGCAACCCUUAUUAUUAGUUGCCAGCAUUCAGUUGGGCACUCUAGUGAGACUGCCGGUGACAAACCGGAGGAANGUGGGGAUGACGUCAAAUCAUCAUGCCCCUUAUGACCUGGGCUACACACNUGCUACAAUGGCAUAUACAACNANUCNCUAACCCGCGAGGGUACNCUAAUCUCUUAAANUAUNUCUCAGUUCGGAUUGUAGGCUGCAACUCNCCUACAUGAANUCGGAAUCGCUANUAAUCGCGGAUCANCACNCCGCGGUGAAUACNUUCCCGGGUCUUGUACACACCGCCCGUCACACCAU
Molecule: ribosomal RNA, 1417 nt
Filed under: Weissella thailandensis
Lineage: Bacteria; Bacillati; Bacillota; Bacilli; Lactobacillales; Lactobacillaceae
Description: 16S ribosomal RNA
Rfam family: Bacterial small subunit ribosomal RNA
Source: RNAcentral